GACGAACGCUGGCGGCGUGCUUAACACAUGCAAGUCGAACGGAAAGGCCCUGCUUUUGUGGGGUGCUCGAGUGGCGAACGGGUGAGUAACACGUGAGUAACCUGCCCUUGACUUUGGGAUAACUUCAGGAAACUGGGGCUAAUACCGGAUAGGAGCUCCUGCUGCAUUGUGGGGGUUGGAAAGUUUCGGCGGUUGGGGAUGGACUCGCGGCGUAUCAGCUUGUUGGUGGGGUAGUGGCUUACCAAGGCUUUGACGGGUAGCCGGCCUGAGAGGGUGACCGGCCACAUUGGGACUGAGAUACGGCCCAGACUCCUACGGGAGGCAGCAGUGGGGAAUAUUGCACAAUGGGCGGAAGCCUGAUGCAGCAACGCCGCGUGCGGGAUGACGGCCUUCGGGUUGUAAACCGCUUUCGCCUGUGACGAAGCGUGAGUGACGGUAAUGGGUAAAGAAGCACCGGCUAACUACGUG
RNAcentral lists this ribosomal RNA (468 nucleotides) under uncultured bacterium. RNAcentral's name for it is "partial 16S ribosomal RNA". It matches the Rfam family "Bacterial small subunit ribosomal RNA", at positions 28 to 507 of the family's 1533-position model. The record is from RNAcentral.